AUAGUUGAGUAGUAUUCCAUUGUGUGUGUGUGUGUGUGUGUGUGUGCAUGGUAUAUAUAUACACACACACAUAUAUAUCUAUAUAUAUGCACACACUAUAUA
This 102-nucleotide microRNA precursor is filed under the name Chlorocebus sabaeus (green monkey). RNAcentral's name for it is "miRNA (ENSCSAG00000026665.1)". The record is from RNAcentral. Lineage: Eukaryota; Metazoa; Chordata; Mammalia; Primates; Cercopithecidae.